CUGAAGAUGAUACGCAAAACAUACGACGUAUGGAGUGUACAUUUUUUCAUUUAAAUAUACGAUAUGUAUGCAAAAUGAUGAUUUUAUUAUUGUUUCGUUCAGCACCGUAGGACGAUGCAUUGUUAAAAAUUUAGAUUGCCGUAGAUUCACGAAUCUGAACCUACUUUGCUGUCCGAUUGUGAUUGUUUGCAUUUUUAUUUGAGCUGGUUCCAGGCACGUCGGUAAUUUGAUUAAUCAUGCCAUUAGAAAGUUUACUACGGUCAAUGGUGCAAUUGCAUUUAGGUCUAACAAAACAAGGCCAUUGGCAAUUGUAUCGAAAUUAGCCGAGCCUACCAUCGGUGUAGAGCAGUUACUUUUAUUACUUGUGUUGUUCGUGACACUGACUCGUUGUGAUAUUGUUGUUUGUGUCUUCGUAGUGAAAAAGAAGUCGCUUAUAGGGUGUGUAGAAAUGUCAGUGAUAUUAAUGUUAUUAUUAGGUAUCACAUGUACGGAUAGAUUGUUGCAUGGGUGCUCACUCUGCGAGUAUAUUCCGACUAAUUUUGAAUCAUCUUCUUAAAUUGGGGACAGAUUCAAUAAUGGUUCCUACAUGUACGUAAUUUAUACACAUACGAUCGGUCACGAAAGUGUACAUACACCUGUGUAAUUUCAAAUAUUUCUAACAAUAUAACAAAAAUUUUGGAAGUCGA
Non-coding RNA from Megalopta genalis, 686 nucleotides. The record is from RefSeq and is a predicted model, not a curated record. NCBI's taxonomy places the organism in Eukaryota, Metazoa, Arthropoda, Insecta, Hymenoptera, Halictidae.